UACAGAGGCCUCGAGCGUUAGGCGGAAUCACUGGGCUUGAAGCGUGUGUAGGCGGACUUCUAAGUACCUUGUGAAAUCCCACGGCUCACCCGUGGAACUGCUCGGUAUACUGGUUGUCUUGAGCCUUCUAGGGGCGAGUGGAACAAAUGGUGGAGCGGUGAAAUGCGUAGAUAUCAUUUGGAACGCCAAUGGUCAAAACAACUCGCUGGGGAAGUGCUGACGCUGAGACACGAAAGCCAGGGGAGCGAACGGG
This 253-nucleotide ribosomal RNA is filed under the name uncultured bacterium. RNAcentral describes it as "partial 16S ribosomal RNA". It matches the Rfam family "Bacterial small subunit ribosomal RNA", at positions 524 to 776 of the family's 1533-position model. The record is from RNAcentral.